This 1522-nucleotide ribosomal RNA is filed under the name Salmonella enterica subsp. enterica serovar Rissen. RNAcentral's name for it is "bacterial SSU rRNA". It matches the Rfam family "Bacterial small subunit ribosomal RNA". Lineage: Bacteria; Pseudomonadati; Pseudomonadota; Gammaproteobacteria; Enterobacterales; Enterobacteriaceae. The record is from RNAcentral.
AGAGUUUGAUCAUGGCUCAGAUUGAACGCUGGCGGCAGGCCUAACACAUGCAAGUCGAACGGUAACAGGAAGCAGCUUGCUGCUUUGCUGACGAGUGGCGGACGGGUGAGUAAUGUCUGGGAAACUGCCUGAUGGAGGGGGAUAACUACUGGAAACGGUGGCUAAUACCGCAUAACGUCGCAAGACCAAAGAGGGGGACCUUCGGGCCUCUUGCCAUCAGAUGUGCCCAGAUGGGAUUAGCUGGUUGGUGAGGUAACGGCUCACCAAGGCGACGAUCCCUAGCUGGUCUGAGAGGAUGACCAGCCACACUGGAACUGAGACACGGUCCAGACUCCUACGGGAGGCAGCAGUGGGGAAUAUUGCACAAUGGGCGCAAGCCUGAUGCAGCCAUGCCGCGUGUAUGAAGAAGGCCUUCGGGUUGUAAAGUACUUUCAGCGGGGAGGAAGGUGUUGUGGUUAAUAACCGCAGCAAUUGACGUUACCCGCAGAAGAAGCACCGGCUAACUCCGUGCCAGCAGCCGCGGUAAUACGGAGGGUGCAAGCGUUAAUCGGAAUUACUGGGCGUAAAGCGCACGCAGGCGGUCUGUCAAGUCGGAUGUGAAAUCCCCGGGCUCAACCUGGGAACUGCAUUCGAAACUGGCAGGCUUGAGUCUUGUAGAGGGGGGUAGAAUUCCAGGUGUAGCGGUGAAAUGCGUAGAGAUCUGGAGGAAUACCGGUGGCGAAGGCGGCCCCCUGGACAAAGACUGACGCUCAGGUGCGAAAGCGUGGGGAGCAAACAGGAUUAGAUACCCUGGUAGUCCACGCCGUAAACGAUGUCUACUUGGAGGUUGUGCCCUUGAGGCGUGGCUUCCGGAGCUAACGCGUUAAGUAGACCGCCUGGGGAGUACGGCCGCAAGGUUAAAACUCAAAUGAAUUGACGGGGGCCCGCACAAGCGGUGGAGCAUGUGGUUUAAUUCGAUGCAACGCGAAGAACCUUACCUGGUCUUGACAUCCACAGAACUUUCCAGAGAUGGACUGGUGCCUUCGGGAACUGUGAGACAGGUGCUGCAUGGCUGUCGUCAGCUCGUGUUGUGAAAUGUUGGGUUAAGUCCCGCAACGAGCGCAACCCUUAUCCUUUGUUGCCAGCGGUCCGGCCGGGAACUCAAAGGAGACUGCCAGUGAUAAACUGGAGGAAGGUGGGGAUGACGUCAAGUCAUCAUGGCCCUUACGACCAGGGCUACACACGUGCUACAAUGGCGCAUACAAAGAGAAGCGACCUCGCGAGAGCAAGCGGACCUCAUAAAGUGCGUCGUAGUCCGGAUUGGAGUCUGCAACUCGACUCCAUGAAGUCGGAAUCGCUAGUAAUCGUGGAUCAGAAUGCCACGGUGAAUACGUUCCCGGGCCUUGUACACACCGCCCGUCACACCAUGGGAGUGGGUUGCAAAAGAAGUAGGUAGCUUAACCUUCGGGAGGGCGCUUACCACUUUGUGAUUCAUGACUGGGGUGAAGUCGUAACAAGGUAACCGUAGGGGAACCUGCGGUUG